RNAcentral lists this long non-coding RNA (686 nucleotides) under Capsicum annuum. RNAcentral's name for it is "long non-coding RNA (CANN_LNC005547)". The record is from RNAcentral. Lineage: Eukaryota; Viridiplantae; Streptophyta; Magnoliopsida; Solanales; Solanaceae.
CGUCUUGAAAUACAAAACCAGGGGAUAAAACACAGAAUUCAUCCCCUCUCAGUUCUUACCUACUAUCCAAUUGUCCAUAAUACCUUAAUGAUUCUCCUACUACAAGGAACAAACAAAAUUAAACAAUACUACAUUAUUGCGACUACGAAUUCAAAUCUCCUUCUGUAAAGAGUGCAACACUUGAUCCAUAGGAGAAGCCAACCCCUGAUACACUCGCGUGUUCCUCUCUAUCGAAGAAAAAAAAAAAGAAUUAUUAAAGUUAUUCUUAUUAUGAGCUUUGUUGAACUCAGAGGCGGAGCUAGUAGCCUGCAUACAAGUUCGGCUGAACUCAGUAGUUUUUGUUCAAUCAAUGAUAAAUUUGUAUUAAUUUUAAAUUCAGAUCAACAAAGUAAUCAUCACUUAAAAUUUGCCAUUCUAAAACCUAAAACCCAUAAAUUUGAAUCCUAACUCUGCCUCAUUUGGACGGACGGCGGUGUACUUUAAGGAUUUCUUUACGAAAAAGCAAUUCUAGUGGGGGGUUAGGACAAAGAGAGAAUCAGAUGUAUGGUUAUUGAGAAGAUAUUACUAUGAGCAUUGGUAAUUACUAUCUUAAUUUCACUUGAAAGGGGAUAUUUGAGAAGUCUAUCCAACUAGCCCUUUUAAACUUUGUUCCUUUGUAAGCAUUAUCUUUUGAUACUGGUUUUGAA